RNAcentral lists this ribosomal RNA (489 nucleotides) under Triticum aestivum (bread wheat). RNAcentral describes it as "partial small subunit ribosomal RNA". The record is from RNAcentral. Lineage: Eukaryota; Viridiplantae; Streptophyta; Magnoliopsida; Poales; Poaceae.
AUGCCCAUUCAGUCAGUAGAUCUUGCUAAAAAAAAUAUUCAGUCAGUAGAUCCCCACUCUUCUUCUUCAAAAGAAAAGAAAAAACUAGUAGAUCCCCACAUUCCCCACAUCCCUGAACUAGGAUGGAGUAGCAGUUUUGUCAUUGUCGAGGCGGCACAAGGAAUGCUUGGAAUGCUCAGUAAAAUCCAAGACAGGGACAGCGAAGAUGACACAUAUUUGCUGAAGUAUUCUUCUCUGAGGAAUAACCAAUGGCACUUGGAGAAGUUCAUCCCGUCGCCGGUAAAGGCUACUCUGGUUGGUGUAGGCGGGGGAUACCUGCUCAUGGUAGCGUUGCACACCACAUCUUCACAUGAGAAGCUGAAGUUUGAAUUACUUUCCGUGGACGUCAAGACAUUGCAGAUCGAGUUGUUCGCGGAGCUUAGUGAAGCCACCUUACCUGAUCGGCUAUAUGUUGGCUUUCCACCAUCAUUGUGUGUGCCAACUAUAUGA